AUGAGCCAUGUACACGAUGAAACCAUUUUUGUGUUCUUCAGCACCUCAGCCUUCCCAUGGAUCCUGCUGUCUUGUUCUCUUCCUUUUGGUAGAGAAGUUCCAAGUGAUAACAACCGGAAGUUCACGUACUACAUGUACCAUAUAACUGGAAUUAACCGAUGCAAGUCCAAGAAGGAUUGGCCGGUGUUGCCAGCUGGCGUCAAGUUCGAUCCCACGGAUCAGGAGCUGAUCGAGCACCUUGAGGCCAAAGUGACUGCUGACAGCGCGAGAUCUCACCCUCUCAUCGAUUUAUUCAUACCAACCAUCGACAGCGAGCACGACAUAUGCUACACCCAUCCUGAGAAACUUCCAGCGCAAUUCCAGGGCGUUCAAAAGGGGCACGUGGACGCGUCGCAAGAUACAGUCGGAGUGCGGCAUGCACGCGAUGUGGCACAAGACCGGCACUACCUUGCCGGUGGCGGUCAACGGCCGGCAGACGGGCAGCAAAAAGGUUCUGGUGCUGCACACCAACAAGAACUUCGACCAGUAGAGGACCAACUAGGUGAUGCACCAGUACCACCUCGGGGACCUGGAGCAAGAGAAGGAGCGGGAGCUGGUCCUCUGCAAGAUUUUCUACCAGACGAACACUAG
This 630-nucleotide ribosomal RNA is filed under the name Triticum aestivum (bread wheat). RNAcentral describes it as "partial small subunit ribosomal RNA". Lineage: Eukaryota; Viridiplantae; Streptophyta; Magnoliopsida; Poales; Poaceae. The record is from RNAcentral.